Molecule: ribosomal RNA, 497 nt
Filed under: uncultured bacterium
Lineage: Bacteria
Description: partial 16S ribosomal RNA
Rfam family: Bacterial small subunit ribosomal RNA
Source: RNAcentral
GAUGAACGCUGGCGGCGUGCCUAAUACAUGCAAGUCGAGCGAACGGACGAGAAGCUUGCUUCUCUGAUGUUAGCGGCGGACGGGUGAGUAACACGUGGAUAACCUACCUAUAAGACUGGGAUAACUUCGGGAAACCGGAGCUAAUACCGGAUAAUAUUAUGAACCGCAUGGUUCAAAAGUGAAAGACGGUCUUGCUGCCACUUAUAGAUGGAUCCGCGCUGCAUUAGCUAGUUGGUAAGGUAACGGCUUACCAAGGCAACGAUGCAUAGCCGACCUGAGAGGGUGAUCGGCCACACUGGAACUGAGACAUGGUCCAGACUCCUACGGGAGGCAGCAGUAGGGAAUCUUCCGCAAUGGGCGAAAGCCUGACGGAGCAACGCCGCGUGAGUGAUGAAGGUCUUCGGAUCGUAAAACUCUGUUAUUAGGGAAGAACAUAUGUGUAAGUAACUGUGCACAUCUUGACGGUACCUAAUCAGAAAGCCACGGCUAACUACGUG